This is a non-coding RNA of Petromyzon marinus (sea lamprey), 228 nucleotides long. NCBI's taxonomy places the organism in Eukaryota, Metazoa, Chordata, Hyperoartia, Petromyzontiformes, Petromyzontidae. The record is from RefSeq and is a predicted model, not a curated record.
GGGGGAAGCUUUCGUCCGCGGGUCGACGCGGCCGCCGGCUCCGCUACCGGGACAGACGCCGCAGAGUACAACCGCGGAGAUUGAGCACGCAGCGCCAUCGACUGAGGAGCUUCUGGACAAGCUGGAAGAGCGGCUGUCCUGCAAGGUGUGCAUGGAGCGCGAGGUGUCCACGAUGUUCGUGCCGUGCGGACACGUGGCCACGUGCGGCCACUGCGCCCUCUCCCUGAG